GUAGAGGUGCUGCAUGGCUGUCGUCAGCUCGUGUCGUGAGAUGUUGGGUUAAGUCCCGCAACGAGCGCAACCCUUGUUUGCUGUUGCCAUCAGGUAAUGCUGGGCACUCUGCAAAGACUGCCGGUGAUAAACCGGAGGAAGGUGGGGAUGACGUCAAGUCAGCAUGGCCUUUAUGUCUGGGGCUACACACGUGCUACAAUGGCCGAUACAAACCGUCGCGAGCCCGCAAGGGGGAGCUAAUCGGAGAAAGUCGGUCUCAGUUCGGAUAGCAGGCUGCAACUAGCCUGCUUGAAGUUGGAAUCGCUAGUAAUCGCGGAUCAGCACGCCGCGGUGAAUACGUUCCCGGGCC
RNAcentral lists this ribosomal RNA (349 nucleotides) under uncultured Acidobacteriota bacterium. Its description in RNAcentral is "bacterial SSU rRNA". It matches the Rfam family "Bacterial small subunit ribosomal RNA", at positions 1032 to 1380 of the family's 1533-position model. Lineage: Bacteria; Pseudomonadati; Acidobacteriota. The record is from RNAcentral.